Molecule: small nuclear RNA, 23 nt
Filed under: Arabidopsis thaliana (thale cress)
Lineage: Eukaryota; Viridiplantae; Streptophyta; Magnoliopsida; Brassicales; Brassicaceae
Description: snRNA_15722
Source: RNAcentral
AGUCAAUAUUGUCUCAACCUGCA